GUCUACAGCCAUACCACCCUGAACACGCUCGAUCUUGGAAGCUAAACAGGGUCAGGCCUGGUUAGUACUUGGAUGGGAGGCUGCCUGGGAAUACCAGGUGCUGUAGGCU
Molecule: ribosomal RNA, 109 nt
Filed under: Saimiri boliviensis boliviensis (Bolivian squirrel monkey)
Lineage: Eukaryota; Metazoa; Chordata; Mammalia; Primates; Cebidae
Source: RNAcentral